This 79-nucleotide non-coding RNA is filed under the name Clostridium ihumii. Its description in RNAcentral is "Cyclic di-GMP-I riboswitch". It matches the Rfam family "c-di-GMP-I riboswitch aptamer". From Rfam's summary of the family: GEMM was predicted in a large-scale screen for bacterial structured RNA regulatory elements. Genes associated with GEMM are involved in a diverse array of functions, including chemotaxis regulation, signal transduction, secretion and chitin. The record is from RNAcentral. Lineage: Bacteria; Bacillati; Bacillota; Clostridia; Eubacteriales; Clostridiaceae.
GAAAAGGCAAACUUAAAGAAAUUUAAGGACGCAAAGCUAUAGGGACUAAGGUGUUAAAACUAUGUCAGCCAGCUACCGA